GAAUCUGGAAGCCAGCCACCACAUGCCCUCAUGCCCAGGGUCUUCCUGCAGGUGGAGCUGAAGAGCCAAGAGGCUCAGAGUCUGCAGCAGCAGCCAGACCACUACCUGUGUACCGCUCUGGGAGCCCCAAUCCCACAUGAGCUGGGGUGUUGCUGACAAGCAGGGUGGUGAGUAGAGCCCUCAGGUGGGGUGGGCAGUCAGGAGCAGGGGAGGCUUGCACUGUGCUCAGAUUCCCACCCCCCUCCCUCUCCCUGAAGAUCUUUGUGAGGUGAGCCUCACUGAUAGCGUGGAGCCUGCACCAGGAGAGGAGAGGGAGGGUUCUCCCCAUGACAACCCCACUGCACAGCAGAUCCAGCAGCUGCUUUCUGUAAUGCAGGACUCCCCAGGCUUGGGUGGAGAAGCUGUUGGUACAGGAGAGGCGGCAGGAGGAGCAGGAGAGGCUGCAUGCCAUUGUUUUCGGGCUGCCAAGAACGGGAAGAGACGUCUUCUUCAAGAGCUGGUCAAGAAAUUUAAAAAAAACAAAAAACAAAAAAAAAACGGUUAAGGGGUUAAUCUCCUAUACAAUUCAUUUACUUCAUUUGAAAGUUAGAGCCACUUAUGUUUAUUUGUGUUUCUAAUUGAUAGUUUAAAUUUAUUUGUGUUUCUAAUUUAUAGUUUAAAUUUAUUUGUGUUUCUAAUUUAUAGUUUAAAUUUAUUUGUGUUUCUAAUUUAUAAUUUAAAUUUAUUUGUAAAAAUUAAAGGAGAGUGGGUCUUUCCCUCCUGUUCACUCUGGCAUCCUUUAGCAUUUUUUUAAUUUGAUAAUUAUAGGAUGUUAGCAUGCAUAUCGAGUUUGCCCUUAUGUGGUGGGAGUUCAAACACACAAAGACCCACUAUAUGCACACAACUGUUCUUGCUGGUUUGGGAUAGGCUGCCAUGCUUUUUUAAUGUUAGUGCAGCAUGUAUAUUCAUUACGGAAUUCAGAUAAAAUUUGCUUAUGUUCUGCUGUUAUGUUUGAUCGAAUCCUAAUCACAGUGAGCUCUUCAUUAGCUCAAUAUGUGGUUUGCCCUCAAGUGCACAGUUUAUUACUUUGUAAUAUGCCACUGUGAGUACUGACAUUUACAGCUGUUUAAAGGCAGAGCACUGGAAACAGCCUUUCCCCCUUUUUCUGUGUAUUGGGGAUGGGAGUAAUAACAUUUUGGGGAGCUUUUUAAAUCUCCCAGAAGAGGAAAGUGGCCUGCUCUGGCAGGUGUGUGCAGGAUAGAAUGUUUCAUUUGUUCCGGUGCCAAGAAUGAGCACUGUACUAUGGUAGUUCCCUUAGGAUUUGUAUGUGCUCUGGGCUCAUGAAGAUAUUGCAUCAUGAGCUGUGGCAGUUGUACUCUUUUUUGACGACCUAAAAAGGGAUUAUUUCUGAGGAGUGAAAGGCUCCCAUCAUGACUGUGGAUGUGGAAAACCUUUUCUAGCUGAGAGCAUUUAUAUCUACAUACAUUUUAAAGUCAGAGUUCAUGUUCCCUGUUUUAAUCACAUGACUACAUGUCCCAGUACAUAAAAGGGCACUGGCUGGCAUUCUUCUUAAUGUAUUUAGUAAAGAUCAGAAGAAAUCCUUUAAGAGUUUAAAUGUCCCUGGAACAGGCAUACAGGCUCUAGUCAAGAAUGAAUUCGAGUGAAGGAAAGGUGUGUGACACCUGGCAUUCCUCUAUGUUCAUGGAGCUUAUUUGAGGCUGGAAGAUGGAUUUUACCAUCUAGACCUCUCUGGCUAAUACCUAGUCUUCAACCAUCUGACAUAGGAAUUUACUUCUUUUCCUUGAAUGGAAAACACUUUAAAAAUAAUAAGAAACAUUAUUAUAAACUAAUAUAUGUGAGAGUACUUAGUUGAAACAAAAAGGAGUUUUAGUAGACAGUAGUAUACUACAUUUGAAAAUCAAGGAGACGUUUAUGCAACUUAAAAUGGUUACAAACUGCAGCGCAAUCUACUGUUUGUGAAUGUCAAAGUGUUAUGAGGAAAAGUGUCUAUACAAUCACAGAGUUAUAAUUCCGCACAAAGUUCUUUACGAAGAUUGAAAUAUGUUUUUAUACCUCUCGGUUUCAGUUAGAGGCGUAUUUUGUGUAACAUUUAUGGUUUAAAAUGGACUUAAGGUCCUGUUCUUGCCUUUUAUUUUCUGAACUUGCCACUUUUGCAUUAUUUGAGUUCAGUUUAAAGACAGUUAAUUUAAGUCCAUUUUAAACCCUCAGGCUAGAAAUCCUAUCACUGUUAAUUAGCCACAUUAUUUGGUCUAACAGUUUUUCUUUAUCAUUCUGAAACUGGGUUUACCUAAUACAUUGAUAAAUUAUUUCAAAGGUAUUUUUAUUGUUCAAAUCACUUCGCUUUUACCCUGACACAUAUAAGUGACCAGGAAUGACCUUCAGAUAGCGUUUAGCAUCUGUAACCAAUCUGACAAUAAUGUAUUCAUUGGGUACCUAUGGAUUAAAUCACAUACGGGCAUAUUUAAGCUCAAUGUCAGUCUGAAAAAUAAAUGUACUAUAUUAAUUCAAAUACCACUCUUUGUGUAGGUAUUUUGUCAUAUGUUUAAGAAAAAGCUAAAAAGAAUGGAAACCGUGUGACAAUAACUUAAGUCUUUCUUCAAAGUGCAUGCAGUCUUUUGCAAUACCUCAUUCAGCCAAGUAUUUGUUUUCUUCCUCAUUCAGUAUAAGGCAGCUUUCAAUUUGCUUAGAAGGCAACAUUAGAAGGUUAGAGUUCAUCAGAAACAGAUUUUUAAAAUGUGAGUUCAACUGAAUAAAUGUGAAUUUCUGCAGGAAGUAAAGAAUCAAAAUACCUAUCUAAAGACUGCAAUAUAUGAUGAUUAUUUUCAAAGUAUUUGGUUAAACCUAUAGGUUUUCUUGAAAUGAAAAAAAUCGGUUCUAAAACCAAAGCUAAUUUUUUGAAAAUGUGGAAAUGUAAAUCAGCCCUAUCCAUAAUAUAAUUUCUCUAAAACUUUAUCUUAGUCAUCUUAAAAUAACUAUUCAAAAAUGUAACUGCUAUCUUAAUGUUUUGAAAUAAGUCAAAACAUUUUAAAUAUGAAUACUGUAGUUUAAAAGAAAGAAACCAAGGGAAGGAAAAGUAGAGAAAGAAAUGCCAAUUCCAGUCCAAAGCUUUUUUUGCCAAGUUUUCUUAGAAUGACUUUUACCUAUUUAUGAAUUCUUACAAACAGAAUGUAUAAUGGAAAUACUGACUUUUGCCUAAAGUGGCAUUGUUGACUGCUGUGAUGUUACUGUAAUGUAAUGUAAUAAAUUAUUAAAUUGUUGCAAAGUGC
This is a long non-coding RNA of Nomascus leucogenys (northern white-cheeked gibbon), 3266 nucleotides long. RefSeq lists it as uncharacterized. The record is from RefSeq and is a predicted model, not a curated record. The transcript has 2 exons. NCBI's taxonomy places the organism in Eukaryota, Metazoa, Chordata, Mammalia, Primates, Hylobatidae.